This 253-nucleotide ribosomal RNA is filed under the name uncultured bacterium. RNAcentral's name for it is "partial 16S ribosomal RNA". It matches the Rfam family "Bacterial small subunit ribosomal RNA", at positions 524 to 776 of the family's 1533-position model. The record is from RNAcentral.
UACGUAGGGGCCGAGCGUUGUCCGGAGUUAUUGGGCGUAAAGCGCGCGCAGGCGGCCUCGCGCGCCAGACGUGAAAGCCCCCGGCUUAACCGGGGAGGGUCGUUGGGGACGGCGGGGCUUGAGGGCGGGAGAGGGUGGUGGAAUUCCCGGUGUAGUGGUGAAAUGCGCAGAUAUCGGGAAGAACACCCGUGGCGAAGGCGGUUCUCUGGGACGGUACUGACGCUGAGACGCGAAAGCGUGGGGAGCGAACAGG